GGUCGUACAUGGUCUCACUAGCUUCAGCAAGUCGAGCGGUAGAGAGAAGCUUGCUUCUCUUGAGAGCGGCGGACGGGUGAGUAAUGCCUAGGAAUCUGCCUGGUAGUGGGGGAUAACGUUCGGAAACGGACGCUAAUACCGCAUACGUCCUACGGGAGAAAGCAGGGGACCUUCGGGCCUUGCGCUAUCAGAUGAGCCUAGGUCGGAUUAGCUAGUUGGUGAGGUAAUGGCUCACCAAGGCGACGAUCCGUAACUGGUCUGAGAGGAUGAUCAGUCACACUGGAACUGAGACACGGUCCAGACUCCUACGGGAGGCAGCAGUGGGGAAUAUUGGACAAUGGGCGAAAGCCUGAUCCAGCCAUGCCGCGUGUGUGAAGAAGGUCUUCGGAUUGUAAAGCACUUUAAGUUGGGAGGAAGGGUUGUAGAUUAAUACUCUGCAAUUUUGACGUUACCGACAGAAUAAGCACCGGCUAACUCUGUGCCAGCAGCCGCGGUAAUACAGAGGGUGCAAGCGUUAAUCGGAAUUACUGGGCGUAAAGCGCGCGUAGGUGGUUUGUUAAGUUGGAUGUGAAAUCCCCGGGCUCAACCUGGGAACUGCAUUCAAAACUGACUGACUAGAGUAUGGUAGAGGGGUGGUGGAAUUUCCUGUGUAGCGGUGAAAUGCGUAGAUAUAGGGAGGAACACCAGUGGCGAAGGCGACCACCUUGGACUAAUACUGACACUGAGGUGCGAAGCGUGGGGGAGCAAACAGGAUUAGAUACCUGGUAGUCCACGCCGUAAACGAUGUCACUAGUCGUGUAGUCUUGGAGCUUUUAGUGGCGCAGCUACGCAUUAGUGACCGCCUGGGGGAGUACGGCGCAAGGUAAACUUCAAUGAUUGACGGGGCCGCACAGCGGUGGAGCAUGUGGUUUAUUCGAGCACGAGACUUACAGGCUGGCUUCAUGACUUCAAGAUUGAUGGUGUCUUCGAACUGGAACGGUUCGCAUGGCUUCUCAGCCUUGGUCUGAAGUUGGUAAGUCCUAACGGCACCUGGCCCUAC
This 1039-nucleotide ribosomal RNA is filed under the name Pseudomonas sp. M1-29. RNAcentral describes it as "bacterial SSU rRNA". It matches the Rfam family "Bacterial small subunit ribosomal RNA", at positions 31 to 1109 of the family's 1533-position model. The record is from RNAcentral. Lineage: Bacteria; Pseudomonadati; Pseudomonadota; Gammaproteobacteria; Pseudomonadales; Pseudomonadaceae.